GGCCGUGUGGUGUAGUGGUAGCAUACUUGCUUUGGGAAUUUCCUCUCAUAAGCUGUUGCAAGUGGUCCCAGGUUCGAGCCCUGGCUCGGCCC
This 92-nucleotide transfer RNA is filed under the name Podospora comata. It matches the Rfam family "tRNA". Rfam says of the family: Transfer RNA (tRNA) molecules are approximately 80 nucleotides in length. Their secondary structure includes four short double-helical elements and three loops (D, anti-codon, and T loops). Lineage: Eukaryota; Fungi; Ascomycota; Sordariomycetes; Sordariales; Podosporaceae. The record is from RNAcentral. RNAcentral also lists the same sequence under 3 other names.